GGACGAACGCUGGCGGCGUGCUUAACACAUGCAAGUCGAACGGAAAGGCCCUGCUUUUGUGGGGUGCUCGAGUGGCGAACGGGUGAGUAACACGUGAGUAACCUGCCCUUGACUUUGGGAUAACUUCAGGAAACUGGGGCUAAUACCGGAUAGGAGCUCCUGCUGCAUGGUGGGGGUUGGAAAGUUUCGGCGGUUGGGGAUGGACUCGCGGCUUAUCAGCUUGUUGGUGGGGUAGUGGCUUACCAAGGCUUUGACGGGUAGCCGGCCUGAGAGGGUGACCGGCCACAUUGGGACUGAGAUACGGCCCAGACUCCUACGGGAGGCAGCAGUGGGGAAUAUUGCACAAUGGGCGGAAGCCUGAUGCAGCAAUGCCGCGUGCGGGAUGACGGCCUUCGGGUUGUAAACCGCUUUCGCCUGUGACGAAGCGUGAGUGACGGUAAUGGGUAAAGAAGCACCGGCUAACUACGUG
Molecule: ribosomal RNA, 469 nt
Filed under: uncultured bacterium
Lineage: Bacteria
Description: partial 16S ribosomal RNA
Rfam family: Bacterial small subunit ribosomal RNA
Source: RNAcentral